UACGUAGGGUGCGAGCGUUGUCCGGAAUUAUUGGGCGUAAAGAGCUCGUAGGCGGUCUGUCGCGUCGGUCGUGAAAACUUGGGGCUUAACCCUGAGCUUGCGGUCGAUACGGGCAUGACUGGAGUUCGGUAGGGGAGACUGGAAUUCCUGGUGUAGCGGUGAAAUGCGCAGAUAUCAGGAGGAACACCGGUGGCGAAGGCGGGUCUCUGGGCCGAAACUGACGCUGAGGAGUGAAAGCGUGGGGAGCAAACAGG
This 254-nucleotide ribosomal RNA is filed under the name uncultured bacterium. RNAcentral's name for it is "partial 16S ribosomal RNA". It matches the Rfam family "Bacterial small subunit ribosomal RNA", at positions 524 to 776 of the family's 1533-position model. The record is from RNAcentral.